ACGAGGGGGGCAAGCGUUGUUCGGAUUUAUUGGGCGUAAAGGGUGCGUAGGCGGUUUGGCAAGUCUUAUGUGAAAUCUUCGGGCUCAACCCGAAGCCUGCAUAAGAAACUGCCGGGCUUGAGUAUGGGAGAGGUGAGUGGAAUUUCCGGUGUAGCGGUGAAAUGCGUAGAUAUCGGGAGGAACACCUGUGGCGAAAGCGGCUCUCUGGACCACAACUGACGCUGAGGCGCGAAAGCUAGGGGAGCAAACAGGA
This 253-nucleotide ribosomal RNA is filed under the name uncultured prokaryote. RNAcentral describes it as "partial 16S ribosomal RNA". It matches the Rfam family "Bacterial small subunit ribosomal RNA", at positions 525 to 777 of the family's 1533-position model. The record is from RNAcentral.